RNAcentral lists this ribosomal RNA (274 nucleotides) under uncultured bacterium. RNAcentral describes it as "partial 16S ribosomal RNA". It matches the Rfam family "Bacterial small subunit ribosomal RNA", at positions 523 to 796 of the family's 1533-position model. The record is from RNAcentral.
AUACGGAGGGUGCGAGCGUUAAUCGGAAUUACUGGGCGUAAAGCGCGCGUAGGCGGCUUGGUCAGUCGGAUGUGAAAGCCCCGGGCUCAACCUGGGAAUGGCAUUCGAUACUGCCAGGCUAGAGUAUGGGAGAGGGAAGUGGAAUUUCCGGUGUAGCGGUGAAAUGCGUAGAUAUCGGAAGGAACACCAGUGGCGAAGGCGACUUCCUGGCCCAAUGCUGACGCUGAGGUGCGAAAGCGUGGGGAGCGAACAGGAUUAGAAACCCUAGUAGUCC